Molecule: ribosomal RNA, 107 nt
Filed under: Alloscardovia omnicolens
Lineage: Bacteria; Bacillati; Actinomycetota; Actinomycetes; Bifidobacteriales; Bifidobacteriaceae
Description: partial 23S ribosomal RNA
Rfam family: Bacterial large subunit ribosomal RNA
Source: RNAcentral
UGAGGGUGUGUGAGACUCCCGAGAGAUGAUCGGGUUGAUAGGCCAGGUGUGGAAGCGUGGUAACACGUGGAGCUGACUGGUACUAAGAGUCGAAGACAAUAACACAC